AAAAAGAAGAAAGAUCGGGAAGAAAACAAAACCCACACCGAAUAAUACGUUCUCACUUAAAAUGAAUACUGUUUCUUUUUUUUCUUUUUA
RNAcentral lists this non-coding RNA (90 nucleotides) under uncultured Pyramimonas. The record is from RNAcentral. Lineage: Eukaryota; Viridiplantae; Chlorophyta; Pyramimonadophyceae; Pyramimonadales.